RNAcentral lists this transfer RNA (63 nucleotides) under Taenia saginata (beef tapeworm). RNAcentral's name for it is "tRNA-Thr". The record is from RNAcentral. Lineage: Eukaryota; Metazoa; Platyhelminthes; Cestoda; Cyclophyllidea; Taeniidae.
GGUUUUUUAGUUUAAUUUAAAAUAUAGAUUUUGUAAAUCUAUGAUGGUUUAUAUCAUUAACCU